ACGGAAUGCUUAGGCAUUUAUGUGGCGGACGGGUGAGUAACGCGUGCAGAUAUUUGGCUUCAGGUCGGGGAUAACAGUUGGAAACGACUGCUAAUACCGGAUAUGCCGGGAGGUGAAAGGCUAGCUGCCUGAAGAUAAGCUCGCGUCUGAUUAGCUAGUUGGUGGGGUAAGAGCCUACCAAGGCGACGAUCAGUAGCUGGUCUGAGAGGAUGAUCAGCCACACUGGGACUGAGACACGGCCCAGACUCCUACGGGAGGCAGCAGUGGGGAAUUUUCCGCAAUGGGCGAAAGCCUGACGGAGCAAUACCGCGUGAGGGAGGAAGGCUCUUGGGUCGUAAACCUCUUUUCUCARGGAAGAAGUUCUGACGGUACCUGAGGAAUAAGCAUCGGCUAACUCCGUGCCAGCAGCCGCGGUAAUACGGAGGAUGCAAGCGUUAUCCGGAAUGAUUGGGCGUAAAGGGUCUGUAGGUGGUGCUGUAAGUCUGCUGUUAAAGAGCAAGGCUCAACCUUGUAAGAGCGGUGGAAACUACAGGACUAGAGUGCAUUCGGGGCAGAAGGAAUUCCUGGUGUAGCGGUGAAAUGCGUAGAUAUCAGGAAGAACAUCGGUGGCGAAAGCGUUCUGCUAGGCUGCAACUGACACUGAGGGACGAAAGCUAGGGGAGCGAAUGGGAUUAGAUACCCCAGUAGUCCUAGCCGUAAACGAUGGAUACUAGGCGUGGCUUGUAUCGACCCGAGCCGUGCCGGAGCUAACGCGUUAAGUAUCCCGCCUGGGGAGUACGCACGCAAGUGUGAAACUCAAAGGAAUUGACGGGGGCCCGCACAAGCGGUGGAGUAUGUGGUUUAAUUCGAUGCAACGCGAAGAACCUUACCAAGACUUGACAUCCUGCGAAUCCUAGUGAAAGCUGGGAGUGCCUUCGGGAGCGCAGAGACAGGUGGUGCAUGGCUGUCGUCAGCUCGUGUCGUGAGAUGUUGGGUUAAGUCCCGCAACGAGCGCAACCCUCGUUUUUAGUUGCCAGCAUUAAGUUGGGCACUCUAGAGAGACUGCCGGUGACAAACCGGAGGAAGGUGAGGAUGACGUCAAGUCAGCAUGCCCCUUACGUCUUGGGCUACACACGUACUACAAUGCUACGGACAAAGGGCAGCAAGCGCGCGAGUGCAAGCAAAUCUCAUAAACCGUAGCUCAGUUCAGAUCGAAGGCUGCAACUCGCCUUCGUGAAGGAGGAAUCGCUAGUAAUUGCAGGUCAGCAUACUGCAGUGAAUUCGUUCCCGGGCCUUGUACACACCGCCCGUCACACCAUGGAAGUUGGUCACGCCCGAAGUCAUUACCCCAACCGUGAGGAGGGGGAUGCCUAAGGUAGGACUGGUGACUGGGGUGAAGUCGUAACAAGGUAGCCGUACCGGAAGGUGUGGCUGGAUCACCUCCUUUUUAGGGAGACCUAAUCCAUUUGGAAAUCGAAAGCAAMCCGCAAUUAGAUUCUAAAUUGGUCUACUCUAGGUCGGUCGA
Molecule: ribosomal RNA, 1504 nt
Filed under: Anabaena sp. 1-Pastvisko11
Lineage: Bacteria; Bacillati; Cyanobacteriota; Cyanophyceae; Nostocales; Nostocaceae
Description: bacterial SSU rRNA
Rfam family: Bacterial small subunit ribosomal RNA
Source: RNAcentral